AACGAACGCUGGCGGCAGGCCUAACACAUGCAAGUCGAGCGCCCUUUCGGGGGCGCGGCGGCCGGGUGCGUACCGCGUGGGAAUAUGCCCUUCUCUACGGAAUAGCCUCGAGAGACUGAGAGUAAUACCGUAUACGCCCUAUGGGGGAAAGAUUUAUCGGGGAAGGAUUAGCCCGCGUUGGAUUAGGUAGUUGGUGGGGUAAUGGCCUACCACGCCGACGAUCCAUAGCUGGUUUGAGAGGAUGAUCAGCCACACUGGGACUGAGACACGGCCCAGACUCCUACGGGAAGCAGCAGUGCGGAAUCCUAGACAAGGGGGGAAAGCCUGAUCGAGCCAUGCCGUGUGAGUGAUGAAGGCCUUAGGGACGCAAAGCCUGCUCAGCGGGGAAGAUAAUGACGGUACCAGAAGAAGAAGCCCCGGCUAACUCCGUG
Molecule: ribosomal RNA, 431 nt
Filed under: uncultured bacterium
Lineage: Bacteria
Description: partial 16S ribosomal RNA
Rfam family: Bacterial small subunit ribosomal RNA
Source: RNAcentral